RNAcentral lists this long non-coding RNA (1129 nucleotides) under Scleropages formosus (Asian bonytongue). RNAcentral describes it as "lncRNA (ENSSFOG00015025077.1)". Lineage: Eukaryota; Metazoa; Chordata; Actinopteri; Osteoglossiformes; Osteoglossidae. The record is from RNAcentral.
AUGCUCGUUGUUCUUUUCCUCUUUUCAGUUGUCUUUAGAGACGGAGAGAAGAGCAAGUGGUGGUGAUGGUUCAGUCAUCACCGGUAAGCAGCGUCCGGCCUCACAGAAGAUGAAUCAUGCAGGCGAAACGGGCGUCUGUUCCAAACGCACUUGGAGCUGGACCAGGCAGACUUUUCCCUGAUGCCCACAAGAAAAAUAAGUUCAAGGAAGGUGGCGAGAGUGAAAGCAUAUCGACUACAGGGUUCGAGACGAAGGUGUUGUUAUUAGUGCCUGAACAAGGACUCCGACAGACACAGCACCUGCGGCUUGAGCCCCAGCACCAGGGACGCUGACUGAUGGAUGGAGACGGAGGCCGAGGCAGGAUGAGUCAGAAGUCCGACCCGAUUCUAGCCGGUUCUAGCGGGUGUGUUCGGACACCGGACGUCUUUUUCCCUGAAAUUCUCACCUGUUUGACCAGGCAAUUAUGCUCAUAUUUGCAAUUCAGUUCCAUUAAAGGGGUUUGUGUAAACGUUUGUCAUUUCAUUAAAGCACCUUGAAUUUUGAGUUGUACAAAGCAUAUGUUCCACCAGCUGUUUUGCUCUCCUUUGUGUCGUCUAUGCUGCGCGAACGAAUCGCGCCCUGAGAUCUCCCUCCCGACUCCCCAUGACUACGGAGACAUGGCGCGUUGAGGACACGGGGAUGGACGGAGGGCCGCGCCGUCCGCGAUGACGGCACACGGACGGCGCACUGAGGCCGUGGGAUCGAGGCUCUCGCUUUGUGGCCACGCGGCACUGACUUCGCGCUCCUCGUCAUGACUCUUGGUUCACUGAGCGCCGCACACAAAACUGUACUGCUGUACGAGAGGAGAGAUGAAGAAGGAGGCUGAGUGAGACGAAAGAGAAAUCGCAUUGAAAGGACAACGCAGAGACGUCCACAUGGAGCAACGCCCGUGUCCAACACCUUCGUCCAUUUGUACACGCUGUGGUGAAGUACCUCCCCCAUUGGGUUCAUCACAGGCUCGACGCCUUGACCCAAGAGGCAAAGAGGGGAGCAGAUCUGCCCUGGUGUUACUCCACGCUGGUUAUGAGUGCCCAGAAGGAGGAAGAUCUGGGCGACAGUUCAUUGGCUUGGCCUUCGCACCCAGGACGCU